UUUAUGGAGAGUUUGAUCCUGGCUCAGGAUGAACGCUGGCGGCGUGCCUAAUACAUGCAAGUCGAGCGAACGGACGAGAAGCUUGCUUCUCUGAUGUUAGCGGCGGACGGGUGAGUAACACGUGGAUAACCUACCUAUAAGACUGGGAUAACUUCGGGAAACCGGAGCUAAUACCGGAUAAUAUUUUGAACCGCAUGAUUCAAAAGUGAAAGACGGUCUUGCUGUCACUUAUAGAUGGAUCCGCGCUGCAUUAGCUAGUUGGUAAGGUAACGGCUUACCAAGGCAACGAUGCAUAGCCGACCUGAGAGGGUGAUCGGCCACACUGGAACUGAGAC
RNAcentral lists this ribosomal RNA (335 nucleotides) under Staphylococcus aureus. Its description in RNAcentral is "bacterial SSU rRNA". It matches the Rfam family "Bacterial small subunit ribosomal RNA", at positions 1 to 325 of the family's 1533-position model. The record is from RNAcentral. Lineage: Bacteria; Bacillati; Bacillota; Bacilli; Caryophanales; Staphylococcaceae.